AGCAGCCGCGGUAAUUCCAGCUCCAAUAGCGUAUAUUAAAGUUGUUGCAGUUAAAAAGCUCGUAGUUGAAUUUCGGGGUCAGUAGGCUGGUCGUGCCACAGGUAUGAACUGGUCUCACUGAUUCCUCCUUCCUGAUGAACCGUAAUGCCAUUAAUUUGGUGUUGCGGGGAGACUGGACUGUUACUUUGAAAAAUUAGAGUAGUUUAAAGCAGGCUAACGCUUGAAUACAUUAGCAUGGAGUAAUGAAAUAGGACGUUCGAUCCUAUUUUGUUGGUUUCUAGGAUUGACGUAAUGAUUAAUAGGGAUAGUUGGGGGCAUUAGUAUUCAAUUGUCAGAGGUGAAAUUC
Molecule: small RNA, 346 nt
Filed under: uncultured Glomus
Lineage: Eukaryota; Fungi; Glomeromycota; Glomeromycetes; Glomerales; Glomeraceae
Description: SSU rRNA
Rfam family: Eukaryotic small subunit ribosomal RNA
Source: RNAcentral